This 788-nucleotide ribosomal RNA is filed under the name uncultured bacterium. Its description in RNAcentral is "bacterial SSU rRNA". It matches the Rfam family "Bacterial small subunit ribosomal RNA", at positions 9 to 794 of the family's 1533-position model. The record is from RNAcentral.
GAGUUUGAUCCUGACUCAGAAUGAACGCUGGCGGCGUGCCUUACACAUGCAAGUCGAGCGAGGCCGGGUAGCAAUACCCGAGUCGAGCGGCGAACGGGUGAGUAACACGUGGAUAACCUGCCCAGAGGUGGGGGAUAACCCGGGGAAACUCGGGCUAAUACCGCAUGAUACCGAGAGGUCAAAGGGGGCUCGCAAGGGCUCUCGCCAUUGGAGGGGUCCGCGUCCGAUUAGCUAGUUGGUAGGGUAAUGGCCUACCAAGGCGACGAUCGGUAGCCGGCCUGAGAGGGUGAUCGGCCACACUGGAACUGAGACACGGUCCAGACUCCUACGGGAGGCAGCAGUGGGGAAUUUUGCGCAAUGGGCAAACGCCUGACGCAGCAACGCCGCGUGGAGGAUGAAGGUCCUUGGAUUGUAAACUCCUGUCAGCAGGGAAAAAGCAAUUUAGCCUAAUACGCCAGAGAGUUGAUUGUACCUGCAGAGGAAGCCCCGGCUAACUCUGUGCCAGCAGCCGCGGUAAUACAGAGGGGGCAAGCGUUAUUCGGAAUUAUUGGGCGUAAAGGGCGCGUAGGCGGCUUGGCAAGUGGAAGGUGAAAUCCCCCGGCUUAACCGAGGAACUGCCUUCCAGACUGCUUUGCUUGAGGCCGGGAGAGGUGAGUGAAAUUCCCAGUGUAGCGGUGAAAUGCGUAGAUAUUGGGAGGAACACCAGUGGCGAAGGCGGCUCACUGGACCGGUUCUGACGCUGAGGCGCGAAAGCGUGGGGAGCAAACGGGAUUAGAUACCCCGGUAGU